Molecule: transfer RNA, 74 nt
Filed under: Candidatus Magasanikbacteria bacterium RIFCSPHIGHO2_01_FULL_41_23
Lineage: Bacteria; Candidatus Magasanikiibacteriota
Also listed under: 2 other names
Description: tRNA-Trp
Rfam family: tRNA
About the family: Transfer RNA (tRNA) molecules are approximately 80 nucleotides in length. Their secondary structure includes four short double-helical elements and three loops (D, anti-codon, and T loops).
Source: RNAcentral
GGGCGCGUGGUGAAAUGGUAUCACUGGGGUCUCCAAAACCUCCGUCGUCGGUCCGAUUCCGACCGCGCCUGCCA